CCCUUCAAGUUCAUGGUGAAAAAGUUCUGAAGUCCAUGGAUGAGAAGAAACGUGACUGUGAUUUAGAAGAAACCACUGAAGACCUUUCACGGGAGCAAAGGAAAACUAAAUCCACAUGAUGCUGCAACUACAGAUUGAUUACGGCAAAAAUAAGAGAUUCAGCCAGUAGCAUUACUAAUGAGACCUCGGGAACCCAUGGGAGAAUGCCCAUAGGAUUUAAGAAACCAUGGGAGGGCCACCUUCCAGAUUACUCGCCCAGCAAUUAAAGUGGCUCCUUAGUUGGAGGCCCAGGACGGCCGAGGACAGCUGGAGAGCUCUUCUUUGCA
Long non-coding RNA from Hipposideros armiger (great roundleaf bat), 326 nucleotides. RefSeq lists it as uncharacterized. The record is from RefSeq and is a predicted model, not a curated record. The transcript is spliced from 3 exons. Lineage: Eukaryota; Metazoa; Chordata; Mammalia; Chiroptera; Hipposideridae.